UGCCAGCAGCCGCGCUAAUACGGAGGGGGUUAGCGUUGUUCGGAAUUACUGGGCGUAAAGCGCACGUAGGCGGAUUGGAAAGUUGGGGGUGAAAUCCCGGGGCUCAACCCCGGAACUGCCUCCAAAACUAUCAGUCUAGAGUUCGAGAGAGGUGAGUGGAAUUCCAAGUGUAGGGGUGAAAUUCGUAGAUAUUUGGAGGAACACCAGUGGCGAAGGCGGCUCACUGGCUCGAUACUGACGCUGAGGUACGAAAGUGUGGGGAUCAAACAGGAUUAGAUG
This 279-nucleotide ribosomal RNA is filed under the name uncultured bacterium. RNAcentral's name for it is "partial 16S ribosomal RNA". It matches the Rfam family "Bacterial small subunit ribosomal RNA", at positions 506 to 784 of the family's 1533-position model. The record is from RNAcentral.